RNAcentral lists this long non-coding RNA (273 nucleotides) under Cyanistes caeruleus (blue tit). Its description in RNAcentral is "lncRNA (ENSCCEG00000011152.1)". The record is from RNAcentral. Lineage: Eukaryota; Metazoa; Chordata; Aves; Passeriformes; Paridae.
CUCAAGUGGGAGGACCAAGCAGAAGGGGAACAUCCUUCUCCCUGGCUUCUGUGGGGGACACUUGCUCCUGUUCAAGAUUCCCCAUGAGGCUGUCACCUUAGAGGGGUUUGCAGGCGGUGCUCUCAGUGUGUCUGUCAUGUUGAGAUCCCAGCUUCAGGGUGAGGAGACCCUACAGUGACCUUACUGUUGGCUGAUUCCAGAGAGCCAACUCAUUAUUCUGAAUUGAAAUUUCUCCAUCUCCAAAAUCAGAGGUAAAGAUCAAAGUAUCUUGAG